This 1269-nucleotide ribosomal RNA is filed under the name Klebsiella sp. RNAcentral describes it as "bacterial SSU rRNA". It matches the Rfam family "Bacterial small subunit ribosomal RNA", at positions 170 to 1446 of the family's 1533-position model. Lineage: Bacteria; Pseudomonadati; Pseudomonadota; Gammaproteobacteria; Enterobacterales; Enterobacteriaceae. The record is from RNAcentral.
CCCGGGAGGGGAAAUUUAGAAAGGAAUUAACCAAAAGUGAAAACAAGGGGGACUUGGCUUUUCCUUUGAUGCCCAGUGGAUAGCUGUAGGGAGUAAGGUUACUUGGGGACGUCCUAGCUGUUUGGGGAUGCCAGCCAACGGAAUUAGACCCGUCAGAUUCUACGGGAGCAGCAUCGGGAAUAUGCACAUGGGGCAAGCUUUAUGCAGCCAUCCCGCUGUACGAAGAAGCCUUCGGGUUGUAAAGUACCUUCAGCGGGGAGAAGGUGUUGAGGUUUAAUAACCUCAUCAAUUGACGUUACCCGCAGAAGAAGCACUGGCUUAAAUCCGUGCCAGCAGCCGCGGUAAUACGGAGGGUGCAAGCGUUGAUCGGAAUUACUGGGCGUAAAGCGCACGCUGGCGGUCUGUCAAGUCGGAUGUGAAAUCCCCGGGCUCAACCUGGGAACUGCAUUCGAAACUGGCAGGCUAGAGUCUUGUAGAGGGGGGUAGAAUUCCAGGUGUAGCGGUGAAGUGCGUAGAGAUCUGGAGGAAUACCGGUGGCGAAGGCGGCCCCCUGGACAAAGACUGACGCUCAGGUGCGAAAGCGUGGGGAGCAAACAGGAUUAGAUACCCUGGUAGUCCACGCUGUAAACGAUGUCGACUUGGAGGUUGUUCCCUUGAGGAGUGGCUUCCGGAGCUAACGCGUUAAGUCGACCGCCUGGGGAGUACGGCCGCAAGGUUAAAACUCAAAUGAAUUGACGGGGGCCCGCACAAGCGGUGGAGCAUGUGGUUUAAUUCGAUGCAACGCGAAGAACCUUACCUACUCUUGACAUCCAGGGAACUUAGCAGAGAUGCUUUGGUGCCUUCGGGAACUUUGAGACAGGUGCUGCAUGGCGGUCGUCAGCUCGUGUUGUGAAAUGUUGGGUUAAGUCCCGCAACGAGCGCAACCCUUAUCCUUUGUUGCCAGCGAUUCGGUCGGGAACUCAAAGGAGACUGCCAGUGAUAAACUGGAGGAAGGUGGGGAUGACGUCAAGUCAUCAUGGCCCUUACGAGUAGGGCUACACACGUGCUACAAUGGCAUAUACAAAGAGAAGCGACCUCGCGAGACGCAAGACGGACCUCAUAAAGUAUGUCGUAGUCCGGAUUGGAGUCUGCAACUCGACUCCAUGAAGUCGGAAUCGCUAGUAAUCGUGGAUCAGAAUUCCACGGUGAAUACGUUCCCGGGCCUUGUACACACCGCCCGUCACACCAUGGGAGUGGGUUGCAAAAGAAGUAGGUAGCUUAACCUUCGGG